UGCCGCUCAACGGGCGCAGAGCAAGUCCUUCUCUUGGUGCUCAGUCAAAAGGAAUGCCAUCGAAAACGCAAGGAUAGCGAAGCUCGGAGCUGAAAUACUCGCUUCGUGCAAGCAGGAAAUCAUCACUAUGAACGUGAAGCCCGGCAUAACUGAGCACUCGGACAAAAUGUGUUGGGGCAUACAUGUGACAUACGCUCUCGCCGAAGACGACAGCCAUCUGCCCACAGGUGCGUACCAGGAGAAGUUGUACCAGUACAUCAUGACUUUAGUCAGU
Molecule: long non-coding RNA, 274 nt
Organism: Ornithodoros turicata
Lineage: Eukaryota; Metazoa; Arthropoda; Arachnida; Ixodida; Argasidae
Exons: 4
Source: RefSeq, a predicted model, not a curated record